RNAcentral lists this ribosomal RNA (253 nucleotides) under uncultured bacterium. RNAcentral's name for it is "partial 16S ribosomal RNA". It matches the Rfam family "Bacterial small subunit ribosomal RNA", at positions 524 to 776 of the family's 1533-position model. The record is from RNAcentral.
GGCGUAGGGUGCAAGCGUUGUCCGGAUUUAUUGGGCGUAAAGCGCGUGUAGGCGGCCUGGUAAGUCUGCUGUGAAAACUCGAGGCUUAACCUCGGGCUGUCGGCGGAAACCAUCUGGCUAGAGUCCGGAAGAGGAGAAUGGAAUUCCCGGUGUAGCGGUGAAAUGCGCAGAUAUCGGGAAGAACACCCGUGGCGAAGGCGGUUCUCUGGACAGUUCCUGACGCUGAGGCACGAAGGUCAGGGGAGCAAACGGG